CUUACAUUGAUAGUAUCCCCAGAAGAGCUCUGUCUAUUGCGUGAUAAGACCUCAGCCAGAGAAAUUUGGGACGCUCUGAGAGAGGCUCACUUAAGGACAGAAGCUGGAUCCACUAUGUUUUAUUUUAACAAGCUGCAUAAUAUGGCUCUUGCUGAAGGUGGAGAUGUGCGUUUACAUCUAAUGGAGAUGCAAAAUCUCAGACAUGAGCUGCAACAGAGAGGACUCAACUUUCCAGAGGCUGUGUAUUCUUUCAUGAUACUACAAUCUUUGGGUUCAGGUUGGGAGUCUGUUGCAACCCAGAUUGCUGUGCAACCAACUGCUCAGCUGACAGUGGACUUUGUUACUGCCGUGAUUUUAAAUGAAGCAGAUCGCCGGGGUGCUGGCUGCAUGGGCAAGGGGGAGUCUUCACAGACGUCAUCCCAUAGUGCAGUGGAACCACCAGAUGGCGCCAAAGCUUUGGAGGCAGUGAAAUGCUACUCGUGUGGACGUCUAGGCCAUAUGAAGAGGGAAUGCAGACAUCCCAGGGCCAAGACAGAGCAGCGCAGCGAAAGCUCAUCGCGCGGAAAAGGCCGAGGCAAAGGCAAAGGUCCGGUGUCUAGGACAACGCAGCACAAGGCUAUGGUUUCACGCUUCACUCCAAAGGUUGCAAAGGUCCAGAAGACGUCUAGAUCUUUCUUCGUUGUUGAUUCAGCGGCCACCCACCACAUGUGCAACGAUAAGAAACUGUUUGUGUCUUUUACACCGCAGGAAGGUGCGAUUCACCAGGCGGAUGACCACACUAUUCCCAGUAAAGGCUACGGAACUGUUGUUCUUCACAGUUUGGACUUAUCGAUACAGAAUGUGCUUUACGUGCCAGACGCCAAACAUAAUCUGCUCAGCGUUGGACAGCUGAAUGAGCGGAACAUUGACGUUUCCUUCAAGAACAAGAAGUGCAUCAUCACAAAGAAAAAUGAUUAUGUAUUGCAUGCAGAAUAUGUUGAUCAUUUGUUUGUUUUGUAUUAUGAUGAUGUGGUGCAGGAUGAUACUUGUUGCAUUGCAGGUUCUAACAAAAGUUUGCAUGCAGAAUGUAUUCACGAUUUUCAUCGCAAAUUUGGUCAUUUGCAUUUUGAGGCAGUAUCUAAAAUGCCUGCCUUGGUUGAAGGUAUGACUAUUAAACCCUGCAGGUACCACAUGAAGUGCAAAGCAUGCGCAGCAAACAAAGUGAAAAUGGCUGCGAAAGGUAAGGUGUCUAGUAGGAAAGCUACAGAACCAUACCAGGUUGUUCAUGCUGAUUUGGUUGGACCAUUAGCACCCUCUUUGGGUGGAAAUAGAUACUUCAUGGUUCUCAUUGAUGCAUUUUCUAGAUAUAUUUUUGUGUACAAUCUCAAGCAGAAAUCGGAGGCUUUUCCUAGGUUCAAGGAAUUCUGUGCUUGGUUGGAAAAUGUGCAUGGUAAGAAGAUAAAGACUCUUUUCAGUGAUCGCGGGGGAAUUCACUUCUCAGCAGUUUGAAGCUUUUCUGACUGAGAAAGGAAUUCAACACGAUUUGUCUAGUCCUCGCCGCCAUGGCAGAAUGGACUUGCGGAACGGGCAAAUCAGACUUUGCUUCAAGGGUUAAAAACCUUGCUGCAUGAUGCCAAUCUUCCAGAGAGUUAUUGGGCCGAAUCUCUCUCGUGUUUUGUUUACAGUUACAAUCGCAGGUUAUCUUCAGCGAUCGGUUGUACCCCCUAUGAGAAGAUGUUUGGCAAGAAGCCAUACAUCAAACACAUGAAGAUUUUUGGUUCUGACAUGUGGGUUCGCUCACCACAAAACUCCAAGUUAGACAAGCGUGGAUUGCAUGGUAUCUUUCUAGGUUAUCAGAAAGGGUCUUACAGAAUAAUGAUGACUGACUCUAAGACAAUUAAGCUCACGAGAAGUGUUGAGUACAAUGCAAAGUGGGGGAGAAUGUGGGAAUUUUCCAAUGUUAUCCUGAUGACGGUGAUGAGACUGAGGAUAGUCAAAAGCAACCACAACAGCCCACACCCACUGAUGAAGGUUCUGAGUCUGAAUCUGAAACUGAAUCGGGUGAUUCAGAGGAUUUCAAGAGUGCGGAAGCCUCUAUGCGACCCUCUGAAAGCUCUGAUCAAGAAUUGGAGGAACCAUUGUUCACAAUAGGUCGUUUUUCUCCUAAGAAGGAAGAGGAGAGUGUUGAAGACUUAAGGCUAAUUCGUAGGUCACAGAGAGUCACAAAAGGCAAACCUCCAAAGAGAUUUGCUGAUGAGUUUGCUAAGAUAGCAGUAACAGCUGUUAAAAGCUCCAAGAAGGUAUUUGAACCUUCAAGUUUCCAAGAAAUCCAGGGUUUGGAUUCAAAGGAAGCUGAGCCAUGGUUAAAUGCCAUGAAGGCUGAGCUUGAUUCCUUAGAAAGGAACAAAACAUGGGAGCUAGUUCCAGUAGUUCCAGGAAUGAAACUGCUUGGAAGCAAAUGGGUCUUCAAAGCGAAGACAGAUCAAAAUGGCAAGAUAGUCAGACACAAAGCCAGAUUGGUAGCCAGAGGUUUUGCACAGGUACCAGGUGAAGACUAUCACGAGACCUAUUCACCCACAGUGAGAUAUGAAAGCAUUAGGCUUAUGCUUAAGCUAGCUGCAGAGGAAAAUCUACACAUUAGUCACCAUGAUAUUAAUACAGCUUUUCUGUACGGAUCUCUAGAUGAAUCACUUUAUAUGCUUCCACCUGAUGGCGUACAGGUAAAACAGGGAUUUGUUUGUGCUCUGAAGAAAUCCCUUUAUGGUCUCAAACAAAGUGCACGGUGUUGGCACACAAAACUCACUGAAGUAUUGUUUUCUCUAGGUUUUCAGCAAGGGAAAGCUGAUCCAUGUGUAUUUGUCAAAGAGGAGGGGCAAAAGAAACUGUACUGUUUGUUUUAUGUUGAUGAUUUAUUAUUCUUUUGGAAAGAUGUUGCAAUGUACAAUAGCGCCCUAGCUCAACUGAAAGAGCACUUUGACACGAAAGAUCUUGGUGAGGUAAACAACUACCUAUCUCUGGAAAUAGAGAGAGAUCAAGAUGGUAACAUUCUAGUACACCAGUCACGGAAAAUUGCUGAUGUGUUAAGCAAACUAAAUCUGAUGGAUGCUAACCCUGUAAACACACCGAUGACAACAGGUUAUCAGGUAGAUGACACUGAAGAAGCAUUUUCUGACACUACACUGUACAGGAGUGUGCUAGGCAAGCUAAACUUCAUUGCCAGAUGUUCAAGACCAGACAUUGCUGUUAGCUGUAAUUUGCUAAGCAGACAAGUCAACAAUCCUAGUGUCAAGGAUUGGAAAGCUCUGAAACGCAUAGCGCGGUAUUUGAAAGGCACUAUGCAUUACAGACUGAGAUUUAACAAUCAGAAGUCUGGUGGUCUUGAGAUAUUUGCAGAUGCAAGUUUUGGAAGUGACGCUACAGACAGGAAAAGUACGUCUGGAGUUUGCUACAUGUACAAUCAGGGUCUUUUUGAUUGGUCAUGCAAGAAGCAAACAACAGUUAGCUUAAAUACUUGUGAAGCCGAACUGAAUGCACUGUCUUAUUCACUUAAGGAUUGUGAAUGGUUAGUACAAUUGUGCAAAGAUAUGAAAAUUCCUGUCAAAUGUCCAAUCCAGGUUUACCAGGACAACAAAGCAUGUUUGGCUUUGCUGAAGUCUGAAGGUUGUAAGCUAAAGCACAAAGCACUUGCAAUUAAAGUUGCAGCAUGCUAGGGAAUGUAUUCAGAAGGGACUCGUAACGGUGUCCUAUAUGCCAGGUAAUGAAAUUCCUGCUGAUGUAUUGUCCAAGAUUGUAUCAAGGGAUCAACACUGUACCUAUGUGCAGAAGUUGGGUUUGUACUGAUAUUGUGCAAACACGCUGCCCAGUGAUGUUCACAGAAAGGAGGAGGAUGUUGGUUUCUAUUUCCUCACUGAGCAGCAACUGCAGUCACAAGACAUUGUUUUACAUUCCACAGUCUGUACUGUUGGAGUUUCUCACGGGAAAGGGAGACUGGAUGUGACGUACACUGGUUUCCUGUUUUUCACUGUGUGAUUCUCUCCAAGCUGUCGAGGAGAGAGGAUGCAUUUUUCUGCUCCUGCAGACGCAAGAUGUCUUUCUGUAAUAUACCAGCUUUGAACUGUAAAUAAAGCAAUAUAGAGUAUGGAGCACAUUUUCCUCAUCCUUCCGCUGGGCACGACAGACUCUGCUUUAAAUCAACACGCAGAACAUUCAACAAUGGAGGCCUGGGCAAGGGGGCAGGGCUGGAAAGGGACCCAGCGAUCAACCACACAUUCGCUCCAUAAGAUGCACAGACAUUUACAGACAUUUCCCCUUACUUUUUAGGAGGGAAAAGGUGUGUCUUAUGGAACGAAAAAUACGGUAGUUGCACCACGAAAUCUUUCUUCAAGCGCCUGCUCACACUCCCUCCUUCCGUAUGGCGCUGGCAUUUGGCAGAUGGGGAGGGUUUUACAGAUAGGAGGCACUCUUCAUCCCUCAUGAAAACAAAGGCGAAAUGAGGCAAAUUGUAUCAGCUCAUUUCUUUUCCUCCAACUGCCUCUUACGCUGCAAUCGCUCCAUUUCCCAGUUGCAUGCCGGGAGAUAACUAACAAGACAAAUGGGAUGAUGUUAGCUGUCUUAUUCCUGAUACUGUCUGAUGCUAGCCUGCAUUGUUCAAAUUAAUUAAUGCCACAUCAUUAUCUUUAGAUGGCAGGCAGAUGUUGGGGUUAUGCUUGUUGUGAACCUUGAACACUUCUACUUCACAGAUCAAGAGCAGUUGCUUUAUAACAGAGAAAUCAAGGUCUAGGCCUACUGGCAGCGAGUUGGUUUGGUAAUUAUCUUAGUAAUAGGCCUCCGUUAUUAUGCAGUGAAGGUCCUCUUUCCUCUGCUGAUGGGUCAUGGCAAACCCGCGGGAUCCAUAUAUGGUCCAGUUCUAAUUUCUCCCCUGUAAAUGACUUGCCAUCUGUCAGCCGUUCAAGUUCACCUAUUGCCAUUCCAGAAACACCAAUAAAUUAAUUGCAGACUUGCAGGUUCAACUAAGAUCAUAAAAUUGAUUUAGGCUGUGAUUUUUUUGUCGUCCCCUCACCAUCACCAAAAAAAAGAGAGGCAAAGCUGAGCUGCUAAAAAUAAUCAAGCAUAUUUGGCCAGGAAAUGAAGUUCAGGACAUUUUAUAUUGGUUUGCAAUCGAGGUGGUUUCUAUUUUGAUAAAAAGUCUGAUUUAAUGGGUAAAUCUGAUGCCCAUCCAAUUUGCAGAAUCUAAAUCCUUCUGCUAUCUUUCCUUUUGCUGAGUGAUGUUGGAGACGUCUGGAGAAUGUGUGUGGAAGUCGUUUACAGUGGUAUCUUGUUGUUUUCUGUAUUUGGGUUGCUGUCAGUGGGUAACACAGUCCUGGUGUUCUUGCUAGAUUUUGCAGGAUCCAUGAGAUACAGGGUCAGGGUGUUAUGUAUUGAAGUUCUCACCCUGGGCCAGCAGGGGGGAUACUGUAGAUAGUUUUCACUCAGGUCCGCAUAUGCAAAUAAGGAAUUGAAAGUGAAGUUCAGUGAUUGGAUAGUUACAGAAAGUUGUUACUGUUGCUUUGGUAGUUGAGCUCUAUAUAAGCAGGUUGGCUGAACCCUUCAGCUCAGUUCUGCGCCUGUGAAUAAACAAGAGCUGUUUGAAGAAUCGCUGUGUGGUCUGAUAUGUUCACCAACAACUUAACACAGGGGUUCUUGCAUAUGUGAAUAUUGAUAUGCUACUGGGGGGACAUUUCCAGACCACAGUGGCACAAUAAACAGCAUUGCCUCCGACAGCCGUAGCAGCAGUAAUAUCCGUUGUGCUCAAACUAAAAGGCUCUCAAUCGAUUUGGUGAGCUCUUAUAUGUAGGAAUUGGGGUGAAAGGGAGCCUCUUCGAUAAUCAAUACAAGAGAUACAGCUUUUCAGAGAAAAGAUCAAAGCUUUGCAGCCCACCGUGCUGGGUGGAAGGUUGAGGAACGGCCUCUCCAGGAAAUCUACUCUUAUGCACAAUAACCGUGCAGAGUACGUCUUAUCCAAAGGCAGAAUAGGGACAAAAAGAUACAGGGAGAAAUCCUAUGCACAAGAAGCAGGCCAGAACGCUUCCGAGCACAAUACAAAGUGUUGGUGCUGACCUUUAAAGCCCUAAACUGUUGGUUUCUAUUUCCCUCACUGAGCAGCAACUGCAGUCACAAGACAUUGUUUUGCAUUCCACAGUCUGUACUGUUGGAGUUUCUCACGGGAAAGGGAGACUGGAUGUGACGUACACUGGUUUCCUGUUUUUUCACUGUGAUUCUCUCCAAGCUGUUGAGGAGAGAGGAUGCAUUUUUCUGCUCCUGAAGAGGCAAGAUGUCUUUCUGUAAUAUACCAGCUUUGAACUGUAAAUAAAAGCAAUAUAUGGAGUAUGCAGCACAUUUUCCUCAUCCUUCCGCUGGGCACGACAGACUCUGCUUAAAUCAACACGUGGUUAUGGGCUCCAGAGGACGGAUCGGAAUGCAGAGGGACGGAUCGGAAAGGAAUCUGCUCUGCGCGUAGAAGUGAUUGAUGAGGUAUGUGCUACUGCUCCGGGCAGCCUGCCAGCUUCAAGUUAAUGGCUUUAUGGCUGGACUUUGAACUUUUAAAGCCGGUUUUGACGGGAAUAGGCAAAAGGCUCCCAGGCACAAGUCACUAUGCUGGGGAAAUCGAAAGUAACUUUUAAGUGUGCUUUUGGAUAAGGCAGCUGCAGCAGUGACGCAGCAAGAUUUAAAGCAGCAUAUGACGCUGAAGGCUAAUGCCAGAGUUAUGAUGGCCCUUCAGGAUGCUUGUGGGAUUCCUAAGCUCAACAAGAAAAAUUACAGCGACUGGGUUCAGUAUGCAGAGGCAAUUCUGCGGAAAGAGGGUUUGUUUGAGGUGAUUACAGGAACCCCCCCAGUUCCAGUUACAGAUGCAUGGGAAGCUAAGGAUUCCAAAGCAAGGGGAACUCUUACAUUGAUAGUAUCCCCAGAAGAGCUCUGUCUAUUGCGUGAUAAGACCUCAGCCAGAGAAAUUUGGGACGCUCUGAGAGAGGCUCACUUAAGGACAGAAGCUGGAUCCACAAUGUUUUAUUUUAACAAGCUGCAUAAUAUGGCUCUUGCUGAAGGUGGAGAUGUGCGUUUACAUCUAAUGGAGAUGCAAAAUCUCAGACAUGAGCUGCAACAGAGAGGACUCAACUUUCCAGAGGCUGUGUAUUCUUUCAUGAUACUACAAUCUUUGGGUUCAGGUUGGGAGUCUGUUGCAACCCAGAUUGCUGUGCAACCAACUGCUCAGCUGACAGUGGACUUUGUUACUGCCGUGAUUUUAAAUGAAGCAGAUCGCCGGGUGCUGGCUGCAUGGGCAAGGGGGAGUCUUCACAGACGUCAUCCCAUAGUGCAGUGGAACCACCAGAUGGCGCCAAAGCUAUGAAGGCAGUAAAAUGCUACUCGUGUGGACGUCUAGGCCAUAUGAAGAGGGAAUGCAGACAUCCCAGGGCCAAGACAGAGCAGCGCAGCGAAAGCUCAUCGCGCGGAAAAGGCCGAGGCAAAGGCAAAGGUCCGGUGUCUAGGACAACGCAGCACAAGGCUAUGGUUUCACGCUUCACUCCAAAGGUUGCAGAGGUCCAGAAGACGUCUAGAUCUUUCUUCGUUGUUGAUUCAGCGGCGACCCACCACAUGUGCAACGAUAAGAAACUGUUUGUGUCUUUUACACCGCAGGAAGGUGCGAUUCACCAGGCGGAUGACCACACUAUUCCCAGUAAAGGCUACGGAACUGUUGUUCUUCACAGUUUGGACUUAUCGAUACAGAAUGUGCUUUACGUGCCAGACGCCAAACAUAAUCUGCUCAGCGUUGGACAGCUGAAUGAGCGGAAC
RNAcentral lists this long non-coding RNA (7803 nucleotides) under Podarcis lilfordi (Lilford's wall lizard). Lineage: Eukaryota; Metazoa; Chordata; Lepidosauria; Squamata; Lacertidae. The record is from RNAcentral.